CCUACGGGGGGCUGCAGUGGGGAAUAUUGGACAAUGGGGGCAACCCUGAUCCAGCCAUGUCGCGUGUGUGAAGAAGGCCCUCGGGUUGUAAAGCACUUUCAGUGAGGAAGAACGCCUGGUGGUUAAUACCCAUCAGGAAAGACAUCACUCACAGAAGAAGCACCGGCUAACUCCGUGCCAGCAGCCGCGGUAAUACGGAGGGUGCGAGCGUUAAUCGGAAUUACUGGGCGUAAAGCGCGCGUAGGUGGCUUGAUAAGCCGGUUGUGAAAGCCCCGGGCUCAACCUGGGAACGGCAUCCGGAACUGUCAAGCUAGAGUGCAGGAGAGGAAGGUAGAAUUCCCGGUGUAGCGGUGAAAUGCGUAGAGAUCGGGAGGAAUACCAGUGGCGAAGGCGGCCUUCUGGACUGACACUGACACUGAGGUGCGAAAGCGUGGGUAGCAAACAGGAUUAGAUACCCCGGUAGUC
This 465-nucleotide ribosomal RNA is filed under the name Vreelandella stevensii. RNAcentral's name for it is "partial 16S ribosomal RNA". It matches the Rfam family "Bacterial small subunit ribosomal RNA", at positions 338 to 795 of the family's 1533-position model. The record is from RNAcentral. Lineage: Bacteria; Pseudomonadati; Pseudomonadota; Gammaproteobacteria; Oceanospirillales; Halomonadaceae.